UGGCAAAGUCAUGGUGUGUCCGCGCCCAUU
Molecule: non-coding RNA, 30 nt
Filed under: Rattus norvegicus (Norway rat)
Lineage: Eukaryota; Metazoa; Chordata; Mammalia; Rodentia; Muridae
Source: RNAcentral